AUAUCUCUGUCUUCUACUGGAAGUGGCAGAUGAAGCACGCUCAAGCAGCCCUCAUCGACCGGUCCGAGACGUGCCCAUAAACUGCUGCGAACAAGUAGUCAAGUGUGGUGUUAGUGUGCCUGAACUUUCAUGGUGCGUCAGAUUGAUAGUUUCACAACGAAUCCAUAAAAGGCUUCCAUCUCAAGGAAAACAAAGUAAGUAUUAGUGUGCGUGAAACCACGUUUACCUUGCCAUGAGAGUUGGGCGGUGUGUGUCACCCUACAAUUUCAAUCUCACACUGACUUUCUGUCGCCCUCCCCGUUGGUUGCUCUUCAAGUUCAACCUCCUCCUGGACAUCCACCUGCUGGUAUUGGACAGUACCGUUGAUGGCGAGUUUGAUCAUCCUCUGAUGCAUGGCGACUUCUUUACUCACGGCCUUGACUG
RNAcentral lists this long non-coding RNA (423 nucleotides) under Triticum aestivum (bread wheat). RNAcentral describes it as "long non-coding RNA (TAES_LNC002351)". Lineage: Eukaryota; Viridiplantae; Streptophyta; Magnoliopsida; Poales; Poaceae. The record is from RNAcentral.